RNAcentral lists this small nuclear RNA (23 nucleotides) under Arabidopsis thaliana (thale cress). Its description in RNAcentral is "snRNA_09058". Lineage: Eukaryota; Viridiplantae; Streptophyta; Magnoliopsida; Brassicales; Brassicaceae. The record is from RNAcentral.
GAGAUGCUCUAAGGUUGUGUGUU